Molecule: ribosomal RNA, 253 nt
Filed under: uncultured bacterium
Lineage: Bacteria
Description: partial 16S ribosomal RNA
Rfam family: Bacterial small subunit ribosomal RNA
Source: RNAcentral
UACGUACGAGGCGAGCGUUAUCCGGAAUUACUGGGCGUAAAGCGCGCGCAGGCGGACCAUUAAGUUGGGCGUGAAAUCUCCCGGCCUAACUGGGAGGGGUCGCCCAAGACUGGUGGUCUUGAGGACAGCAGAGGUGGGUGGAAUUCCUGGUGUAGCGGUGGAAUGCGCAGAUAUCAGGAGGAACACCGGUGGCGAAGGCGGUUCUCUGGGCAUGUCCUGACGCUGAGGAGCGAAAGUGUGGGGAGCGAACAGG